GAAUGUUAGAAUAUGUGGCCUUUUUAUAAUUGAAUAAGAUAUAUAAUAGAAUAACUAAUUGGGUUCCGUUGCGAUAUUUUAGCCAAUAUAAACUAAGUCCAGAAUUCAGUUAUUCUCCUCGACUCUCUCCCCAAAACCCUCUCCCCAAAUCCAUCAAACUGUGUGAUCCUGUGAAAGAUAGGAAGAGAGGAGAAAGGGUCUACUCUUCGCACUCCCUGCAGAUUCCGCAACGCGAUCGGAUUAAAGACGGAGCCUGCAGCAAUCUUGGAUCACGGUGCUGAGCAGAUCAAACAAGAUCUCUGAACGGAUGGCAUCAAAAGGCAAGCACCACAAAUCACUGCCCUUGGCGCCGAUCGGUCUGAGGAGCUAGCCAAGGACUUGGGAAUCAUCAUUAGUUAACAAAACAAGAUCAUACAUCAAAUCCUGCUGAGGUUCUCAAAUCAAUGUGAUAAGUUUUUCAGCGAGAGUUAGCAGAAUCAGCAUCCAAGCUGCAUCAGAAAGUGGCAGAACUAGAGAGCAAUAGAUUGGAAAACAUGAAACAAGAAAAGGUUUGGAAGAAGCACAGUUUGAGCAGUGACAAACAGAUGGUUCCUGACAAUGGUACCAAAUGAUAUCUAACAAGGCUCCGUCGACCGUAUCGUCGAUGGUUUUAAGGGCUUCGUUGAGGAAGCGCUGCGGGUUGACGCUGGAGGCAUCGAAUGGUGCUAUGCUCCAUCGACAUUUUGAGCCCCCU
Musa acuminata AAA Group (dessert banana) is the source of this 733-nucleotide long non-coding RNA. RefSeq lists it as uncharacterized. NCBI's taxonomy places the organism in Eukaryota, Viridiplantae, Streptophyta, Magnoliopsida, Zingiberales, Musaceae. The transcript is spliced from 5 exons. The record is from RefSeq and is a predicted model, not a curated record.